Molecule: long non-coding RNA, 1260 nt
Organism: Sebastes umbrosus (honeycomb rockfish)
Lineage: Eukaryota; Metazoa; Chordata; Actinopteri; Perciformes; Sebastidae
Exons: 3
Source: RefSeq, a predicted model, not a curated record
AUACUUUUAAACACAUAUAUUUGUGAAUUUCCUUUACAUUUAUAUGAAACAAGAAAUAUUUGUGUGUGCAUCAGAAAUAUAUUUGUGAACCAUUUUGUGGAUUUUUUAUUUAUUUUUUUACAUUUAUAUGCAACGAUAACUAUUUUUGUGUGCAUUGAAAAAUAUAUUUGUGGAGAGAGUCAUUUAAAUAUAAAUUACAAAAUACAUUUGUGAAUCCUUCUGUGUGCAUUCAUUAAUACUGAGACUGAUCUGAUUCCGUAUGCGUAACACUAAAGCUGCCCACACAUGAUCAGCGGUGAAAUCGCUCUGCGCUGGCUCUGCCAAUGUUUUCCUAUGGAGAGAGCGGCGUCGCCCGACUAGGUGGAAGCACUACCCUUGGAGUACCUCGCUCAAAGUUAAAAUUAUUUCAACUUUGACCUUGGUUACCGCUGACCUUUCAAAGCACAACCAAUGAGAACAGCUGUUGUUGCCUAGAAACAGUGAAUGCCGCUCUUGGUGCACUUCUUGAUGGCAUACAGUAUCAUACCUGCGCUGUUCUUAACCUCUGCAAGGCUCUGCGCCCUACCUCGUGCUCUCAGCAGACUCAGAGACUUUAUUCAGAGCCGUGAUGCUAGGCAGACUGACACCAGGAGUCCUGACCGCCUGCCGAUUGCAACCUCUCUCACUCCCACGCAAACAACAUGGACUCUCUACCUUCAGCAGUGGGUGGACACAGUAAUGGAAUCACCACAUGAGAAAGGAUUAGAACGUUGAAGUAGCUAAAAAAAAACAUUACAAUGAAUUCAGAUUAAAGUGUUGGCAGUCAUCGUGUGUAUAUGUGGUUUUAAAAGUAAUAUGAGGCAACUAACAGUCUUCUACACAGUCUGUAAUUGGUGUCUGAAUUAUUAGGGCUGUGUGUUGGCAAGAAUCUGGUGAUACGAUACGUAUCACGAUACAGGAGUAACGAUUCAAUAUAUUGCAAUACUGUAAGCAAGGAGAUAUAUUGUGAUUUUUUUCAAAUCUGAUUUUAGGAAAACUGUCAUCGUAUAAAGACACAUCACCACAUGUAUAAAAUCUCAGUAAAAAAAGUCACUAUGUGAAAUGGCUACUAUGGUAACUAACAUCAUCACACAUGAAUACAGUUGGGCUCAUUGGAUCCACAAGAGUCUCAGCUUUACAGUGAUACCCAAUUUAUGUCAUCCAAGACUGUUCAGGGACCCUAGUAUGCAGAAAUAUUCAAACACACCAUUUUAGAAUAGAUGAAAAUAACACAUUUAUACU